CCUACGGGAGGCAGCAGUGGGGAAUAUUGCGCAAUGGGCGAAAGCCUGACGCAGCGACGCCGCGUGAGGGAUGAAGGUUUUCGGAUCGUAAACCUCUGUCAGAAGGGAAGAAGUUGCAUGGGGCCAAUCACCUGUGCAUUGACGGUACCUUCAAAGGAAGCACCGGCUAACUCCGUGCCAGCAGCCGCGGUAAUACGGAGGGUGCGAGCGUUAAUCGGAAUUACUGGGCGUAAAGCGCACGUAGGCUGUAUGUCAAGUCAAGGGUGAAAUCCCACGGCUCAACCGUGGAACUGCCUUUGAAACUGGCAAACUGGAGGAUGUGAGAGGGUGGCGGAAGUCCUGGUGUAGGAGUGAAAUCCGUAGAUAUCAGGAGGAAUACCGUUAGCGAAGGCGGCAAUCUGGCUGGAAACUGACGCUGAGGUGCGAAAGCGUGGGUAGCAAACAGGAUUAGAUACCCGAGUAGUC
RNAcentral lists this ribosomal RNA (465 nucleotides) under uncultured bacterium. RNAcentral describes it as "partial 16S ribosomal RNA". It matches the Rfam family "Bacterial small subunit ribosomal RNA", at positions 338 to 795 of the family's 1533-position model. The record is from RNAcentral.